UACGAAGGGGGCUAGCGUUGCUCGGAAUCAUUGGGCGUAAAGCGCGCGUAGGCGGCCCUGUUAGUCCGCUGUAAAAGUCAAAGGCUCAACCUUUGAAUGCCGGUGGAUACUGCAGGGCUAGAGUCCGGAAGAGGCGAGUGGAAUUCCUGGUGUAGCGGUGGAAUGCGCAGAUAUCAGGAGGAACACCAACGGCGAAGGCAGCUCGCUGGGACGGUACUGACGCUAAGGCGCGAAAGCGUGGGGAGCGAACAGG
This 253-nucleotide ribosomal RNA is filed under the name uncultured bacterium. RNAcentral describes it as "partial 16S ribosomal RNA". It matches the Rfam family "Bacterial small subunit ribosomal RNA", at positions 524 to 776 of the family's 1533-position model. The record is from RNAcentral.